Molecule: small nuclear RNA, 117 nt
Filed under: Peromyscus maniculatus bairdii (prairie deer mouse)
Lineage: Eukaryota; Metazoa; Chordata; Mammalia; Rodentia; Cricetidae
Source: RNAcentral
GUGCUUGCUUUGGCAGCACGUGCAGCACAUACACUAAAAUUGGAAACGAUACAGAGAAGAUUAGCAUGGCCCCUGCGCAAGGAUGCCACGCAAAUUCCUAAAGCGUUCCAUAUUAAA